This 252-nucleotide ribosomal RNA is filed under the name uncultured bacterium. Its description in RNAcentral is "partial 16S ribosomal RNA". It matches the Rfam family "Bacterial small subunit ribosomal RNA", at positions 524 to 776 of the family's 1533-position model. The record is from RNAcentral.
UACGUAGGGAGCGAGCGUUGUCCGGGAUUAUUGGGCGUAAAGGGCGUGUAGGCGGGUUUGCAAGUCGGGCGUGAAAGGCACUGGCUCAACCAGUGUAAGCGUUCGAAACGGUAGACCUUGAGUGCAGUAGAGGGAAGCGGAAUUUCUGGUGUAGCGGUGGAAUGCGUAGAGAUCAGAAGGAACACCGGUGGCGAAGGCGGCUUCCUGGACUGCCACUGACGCUGAGGCGCGAAAGCGUGGGGAGCAAACAGG